Molecule: non-coding RNA, 5247 nt
Organism: Pongo pygmaeus (Bornean orangutan)
Lineage: Eukaryota; Metazoa; Chordata; Mammalia; Primates; Hominidae
Source: the annotation of a RefSeq genome assembly
AUGGAGAUAACAGGACUACAUAAAUUGGACUGAUCGUUUUUAUGCUAUAAAAUUAAUAGGUGAGUCUGCACUCCAGCCUGGGCAACAGAACAAGUCUUGUCUAUAAAAUACAAAAGAAAGAUAAAUUAGUAGAUACUGACUUUGAUACUUCAGAUAAUAAUAUUUUCGUAAACCGAAUUUAAUUAUACCCACAUUGUUACCUACAUCUUCACUGAAAAGUUCCUAGUUAUGUUGAGUUCCAUCAACACUGCACGUGUUCAAAUCUGGACAUCCAAGAGAGUUUCUCCAUGAGGGCAGUGAAACUGGUAUGUAUUCAGCAUCUCUUAACUCAGGAGGACUCCAUACACCCUGGAACACUCUGCUUUUCUGAAUGGCUUACAAUGACUCCGGCUCACUCUCCAUCCUCCUCAAACAUCUGGCCCCUGUUUGCCCUAAGUUCACUCUCUGCUCUUAGUCUAUGUUCUGAAGUCUUCGCAGAGGUGAAAAUGAGCUGUCAGACGGAUCUUCCUUCUCACCACAACGUGGAAUUUACUGUUUCAUUUAGUGACCACUCUUUCCAUAAUGGUUGAUUUCUUUUGGCCUGUUCAUUACUGUUGAUUUUCAAGGGAAUCUCAGUUGAAUCUUUACUCUUUUGCAUUUUGUCUCCAUGACAAUGUUGGGAAGUUUUUCCUCUAGCAUCAUAACAUGAUCUAGUGACCUGAGACAUUUGCAGCAAACAAUACCUACAAAUUCAGAAGCUCUUUGGUUUUCUUUCCAUGAAAAGUAAUUCUUGCUCUUCUGUGUAUGAGCACAUCCUAGCAUCCCUGUACACACCCAUGUAGAUGUCUGCAAGCCUAUGAAAUAUUCCUUGUAAAUAAAAAAAUUUAUCUCAAUUUCCCUCAAUGUUCAUAAUUCUCCUCAGGGUGAGGAAGGUAUUUCUGGAUCUGUUCAAACACAUGGCCCAGAGACCACCUGGUAGGUAGAUAGAGAGCUCACCUCGCUCUGGAUAUUGAGUCUGUCUCUUUCCCUCUGUUGUCUCACAGAAGGUCAGCCCACUUGUUCAGCUCCUAAGAAGAGAGCCCAGGUUUAUCCGGAUUAUACAACACAACCAGCUUCUGAUGACUCUCCUGUUACAACAUCCAUGGAGAUAUUUUAUGUAUUAUAUAAUACACCAAACUAAUGUGAAAUGCCCAAGUUUCAAUACUGCACACCCUAGGGUAUGUUCAUGCAAUUUAGCGGAGGAGAAAGUCUUUCAGAGACAGAUGGAUCUGAAUUGGUAAAUAUGUGGGUACGAAUUCUGGGCUUGAGUGUCAUUGUCCAGCCAUGUUUCACAGGUGUGACCUGUCAGGGAAGAACCAGAGUUCCUUGUUCUCUCAGAGGAUAGAGCUCACAGAGGUCCUCUCUGGUUCCCAGGAAAGGUAAUUUCACUAAUCUUGGUGAUGAGACUAUCCUCCAGUGCUGAUGUACCAUAGAGUUUUCAUCUGAAGCUGUCACUGGUAUCCCCAAUGUACAUCUUUUCACACAGAAGUGUUUAGAGGUCAGGCCACAUCUUCAGGAUCCCACAUUGAGAAGGAUGGAGAUAUAUUCCACUACCUUCUCCUGAGGUCUCACACAGAAUCUCAAAUUUCAAAAGGUCUCAGAAGGGCAGCUCUCAGGUGCUAUUUAAAAAUAACCCGCUUCCUGGGACAGGUAGCAUCCUUCUAACCAAGAUGGAUGUUCUGAACUACAGUACACAUUGCAUGGAUCCAGGUUUGUCUCAAUUCACUGUGAUUAUUACACUCAGCAGCUGUUUCAAUGUGUCUGAAGGGGUAAAUGACAAUUUAGGUGACCUGGGUGUAUGGUUGGUGUUAUAUGAAUCUUUAAAGGUAGAACAGUAUUGACUGUAUUCCAAAAUCUGUCCUUGAUCCAUGAUCACACUCAUUUCUCAGACCAGCUCCUUCAGCACAUUUCCUACCUGGAAGAAGAGGACUCUGGGGUUGGUGAGGGGAGGCCACAGGAAGAGAACUGAGUUCUCAGAGGGCACAGCCAGCAUCCUCCUCCCAGGGUGAGCCCGAAAGACUGGCGCCUCCCUCAUCCCUUUUCACCUCUCCAUACAAAGGCACCACCCACAUGCAAAUCCUCACUUAGGCACCUACAGGAAGUGACUACACAUUUCCUUAAAUUCAAGGUCCAGCUCACAUGGGAAAUGCUUUCUGAGAGUCCUGGACCUCCUGCACAAGAACAUGAAACACCUGUGGUUCUUCCUUCUCCUGGUGGCAGCUCCCAGAUGGGUCCUGUCCCAGGUGCAGCUACAGCAGUGGGGUGCAGGACUGGUGAAGCCUUCGGAGACCCUGUCCCUCACCUGCGCUGUCUAUGGUGGGUCCUUCAGUGAUUAUGGCUGGAACUGGAUCCGCCAGCCCCCAGGGAAGGGGCUGGAGUGGAUUGGGUACAUCGUUAGUAGUGGAAGAACCAACUACAACCCGUCCCUCAAGAGUCGAGUCACCAUGUCAGUAGACACGUCCAAGAACCAGUUCUCCCUGAAGCUGAGCUCUGUGACCGCCGCGGACACGGCCGUGUAUUACUGUGCGAGAGGCACAGUGAGGCGAGCUGAGUGGGAGCCCAGACAAAAACCUCCCUGCAGAUAGGCAGAGGGGCCGGGCGCAGGUGCUGCUCAGGGCGUGUGCUACACGCCCACAGAUCCCGAGGCCGGGUUAGGAGCAGGUGCAGGGAGGGCGGGGCUUCCUCAUCAGCUCAGUGGUCUCCCUCCUCGCCAGCACCUCAGAUGUCCCCAGGGUUCCUCUUUCUUUAUUAUCUGUGGUUCUACUUCCUCACAUCCUUGUGGCAGGCAAGAAAGGAGGAAGACAAUUUUUCUGUUUACUGUUGAGGUUUCACCAAUUACUAGGAACUUUCCUACAAGUUCCUGCAUGACUCAUUUUACCAUAUAUGGAUUCGCACCAUCUCUUGAUUUGUGUCAUCAAUCGAAUUGUGCCCUAUUUGAAAUUCAUUUACUGAAACCUUAAAUCCAAUGGAUCUAUACUGUAAUUUUAAUUAUGUAAUUAAGGUUAAAUGUGGUCAAAGUGUGAGACCCUAAUGCAAUACACUGUUGUCUUUAUAAGAAGAGGAAGAGACACCAGAGACCUCUCACUUUUCACUUGCACACAGAGAAGAGGCCAUGUGGAGAUGUAGUGCACUAGAAGGUGGCCCUGUGCAAGCCGGGAAGAAGCCAUACUACGAACCAAUUUUGCCAGCUCCUUGAUCUUCCACAUUCAGACUGCAGAAUUGUAAGAAAGUCAAUAUUUGUUGUUUAAGCCACCCACUCCUGUUGUCUUCUUAUGAAGACCCAAACUGACUGAUACCACAUAACUCUGUUAGCUCUGUCUCCUGGAGGGAGAAGCAGUCCCCUGAGGCUGGGCACUGCAUCUCUCAGAUUUCCGCAUGAAGUAGGCAAAAACAGUAGCUCUCACAUAAAAAUGUGUCAUGGCCCUGUUGGCCAUUUUUGAGCAAGGUCUCUGAAACCAGCCGUGGUGUGUGUGUGUAACAAAUGUUGUCUUUUAUCUUUUAUUUGGACAUAACAAAUCAACAAGAGGUACCAGCUGGAUGGAGACUGGCCACUGAUCAUCUUCUGUCGUCUCCUUAGUACGUCACAGAAAACCACACCAACAUCACCAACAUCACUGUUUUUCUUCAACCACCUCAAACAGAUUAUAGAAAUGAUCCCUGCAGUAUAGUCUAUUUCUUCAACUUUCUAAAUUUGCACUGAAUCUCUUCCAAAAUGGGGAGCUACAUGGGGUCUGAGUUUUGUUCCUUUCUUCCCAGUCUUCCCCAAGUACCAAGGACAGAAUAGACUUAAAAUAAAAUUUGGCUGUCAAUGCCCCCAACACCACAUCACUUUCUAAAAUCCACAUCCUGCAUCCAUCCUUCUGUGGACAACCCUCAUCGGGCUACCCAGGAAUGGCCAGAAGCUGGUAUCAGCUUAUGGGCUGAGGCCACGAGCUAUACACACGUGUGAUUUCAGUCACACACACUCUAUUGCAGGACCACACCUGUGUUCUGAGGAGCUCAGGCACAUGCUGAUCUCAGUAAUUCUCUAAUAAAUCACACCUGUCUUAUUAAUAAAGGUCCGGAUGGCCCCAUCAGCUGCAGACCAGUGGAAUAAAGCUCAUGGGUGGGCCCGUCAGGCAGAAGUCAGACAAUGGAAGGGAUGGCUGGUCACUUCCAUUUUCACUGAUGUUCCUAAUGAAUUUCAAUGGAAUAAAACAAUAUUAACUACAAAGAGACAGAAAAGAAGACUGGCUCGUCAAGGUAUUUAAGGACAAGAACUUUAUUUGGGGGGAAAGUGAAAGACAAUUCUAAAUGGAAAUCCCUAAAGCACAUACAGCAGCUGACGGAGUGGCCACUGUGCACAUGAGGACUGAGGAGACAGAUGGUAGGGUCCGUUCCUCCAAGAUGUCCCUGGGUGUGUGAUGGUUGGACUCCUCAUGCAUAUGAAUAUAAGAGCUGGACUCAGGGAGAAAAAAGGGCCAUAUCUCAUAGGAAAGGAAGAAAAAAAAAGCAGAAGGGCAUCCCUGGAGAGAGCUCAUUAGAUUUGGUGUGUUUAAGAUGAAAAUUUCUUCCAAAAAUUGUAAUUUUCUAACCUAAAUAUGAAUCUCUUCAAUAAACUGAAAAUUAACAGGAGAAUGGAGCUAGGACUUGAGAGAGGAAACAAAUCUUGAGAGAGCAGAAAGCAAAUCCACAAAAAACUGUCACAUGACAGAGGCCAGAAUGGAGCUGAUGCAGCUACUUCACUAUUCUGCAGACUUGUUGACCAUGUGGAGAAGGGACUUGAACAAAUGGGGACGUUCUCCAACCUUCCGAAUCAGCCUCCUCCUUAUGCAUGAGUAGAAAUCAUAGUUCUGGGGGUGACCUUCCAAAUUUUCCUCUCCAUACCUCUUCCCCCAGGGGUAGUGUCUUUUCCCAACCACAAUGGUUUCUCACCAGUGUCCUCAGCUUCUCCUCCAUUGUACUUACCCUGCAGAUUAAGAAUUUCUUCUGGAUGGAGAUUUUUGAGAAUUUUUUAUUUUCUUUAGUUUCUUUUGGCUCCACCACACCCCAUAGGAUACAGGUUUUAUUGGAUUUCCCCUGGAAAUAGUGGAGGUGGAUCCAGGUGUUCAACAGUCCUCGCUGUUCUUCCCUUCCUGUCAGCACCACAGGACAGCAGAUAAGGGAGAUGACUGUGGAUUUUUCAAAUUCUUGGGCAAAUCCUGCAAGGACUAGUAGAUUAACACUCUAAUACCAUUAGCACAUGCAUCC